RNAcentral lists this long non-coding RNA (2057 nucleotides) under Nicotiana tabacum (common tobacco). Its description in RNAcentral is "long non-coding RNA (NTAB_LNC010289)". The record is from RNAcentral. Lineage: Eukaryota; Viridiplantae; Streptophyta; Magnoliopsida; Solanales; Solanaceae.
AAGACUUCCUGGCUGCUCGUGGAGAGGUAGUGAAAAAGGGUUGUGCUGAAACAUUAAGUUUCACACCCGAAGAUCUGGCGGGGAAGAACCUGGAAGAAAUUGGGGAGAAGUAGAAUCCAAAUUUUAGAUUUAGGGUGUGUUUGGAAAGCACUGUGUAAUUACUAGGCAGUGUAAAGAUGGCUAGAAUUGAAAGCUGAUUCUGUAAUAAAGUCGAGCAACCCAUCUUUAAGCUUAAAUUUCGUCUAUACUUCGAUUUAUAAGGAAUAGAAUGGAGAAUUUAUUGACUUUCAGUUUCAGUUCUAUGGUCAGGUGAUUGCUCUAUAUGUAGGAAGAUACUGUUACGAUUUUUGUGUUCAGCGGGAGGAGGAGAGGAAAGCACAUGGUUUUAAGUUUACAUAAGUACCAAAUGAUAUAUUUUUUUUUUCUUCAAAUGAGAUACUUUUAAAGUUACACAAAUGUCAUGGCAUAAUUUAGAUCGCAAGUUUUAAAUUUUUUUAUUUUUUCCCUUAACAUUAUGCUCAGUCUAGUAUUGCCAUAUUGAGUGAAGCAGAGGGAGAGUAUCAAAUGUCAUAUUUUUUUACUCUAUUUCUUAAUAAUCAUUUAUAUUAAAAACGAAUGGAAUUUAAAACAAGAUAAAAUAUUUACUAAAGCAAGUGAAAUAGGGAAGUAGUAGUUGAAAAGUUUAAAAUUUUAUAUGGUAGAAAAAAUUUAAUCUCAAUAUUCUAAUGAGCUCUAAGCUAAGUGACCUUGGUGUAUGCGCGAUUAGGAAGGUCCGUCAUGAUCUUAUCAUAUUAAAGACGGAGGAAGUGAUUUUUAACUAAUGUCAAUCUUCUACAUAAAUUAUGGCACACUUUCUAUGUGUCCCCGGUCUACCAGCUAAACAGCUUAGCUUAGAGCACAGCGUGUUUGCUAUCACAUUGGCUGGCUGGUGCAUUGGCCAUUACUUCUACAUUUUUCACUUCACCUAAUAAAGGGCUUCAAUUUACUUCACCAAAAGUUUAAAUUAGCCACAAAAGUUGUACUGAUUGGCGGUUAAGGACAAAAAUCUAUAAUAACCUUAAUCCAGUUCCGGCUACCGGGGAAGCUGCUAAAACAAUUGCUUUAAACUCCCAAGAAUUGAAGAGCCCCAAAAUUUUCAAUAUAUAUAACAUAUUAAAUUAUUAAUAAAAGAUACUAGAUUUUAUACUUUUUUCUGUAAUGUGAUAAAUGUUAUUCAAAUAAAUGAAUAUAUGCAAUUUGAUGACGAUUUUGAUAUCGAAGAACAAAGUCUCUUAUAGUAUCUUUUAGAAUUGAUUAUUUCUUAUAAAGAACUGAUUGAGCCAUUUGUCACUUCAAAAUAGACUUGAACAAUGUAUGCAAAUUAUACUCACAUCUAUCUAAUAAUGCAAAUUCGAGAUUUUUAAAUUGUGAGAAUUUAUAAAAAUAUUAUCUUAAUCGUCAAUGUAUGUUUCUCAAAAAAAAAAUUUAUCUAAGCUUUAGUGAGUCAAGUUACCAAAUAUUUGCAAUGGUGAGAACUGGUAGGUAAAUGAAUGAAUAACCAAUAUACGUACAAGAUGGUUGGUAUACUAUCCAUACAAAAAUAAAUAUAAAAAUAAUAUAUUAAAUUUCAUUAAAUAAAUUUAAGGCGUCAAUACUUAUUGGCGUUUGACUUUAGGCCACCAAUAUUGUCGAGUUGCUCCUGCCUUCGUCUUGACCCCAAAUUCCUCAAACUGAAUAUACUGAAUCACCCACCCUGCUACUAUUCUCCAUGGAAUUGACGACGAUACCUCCAAACUCCUUAUUCCAAUAGACUGUUUUAAAGAUUUUCUUUUGGAUCUUUUCGUUUUCUUCUUUCUUGGUAAUUUCUUGGAACGAUGCCGGUGAAUGAUGUGCUUGAGUAUCCAAAAGAAUAAUUGAAACCAACUCGAAAUUUUCUUGGAGGGAUUUUAUUGGUGAUGUGAAGCAAUUGGUUAUCGACCCACAAGAUUAGCUCAUGGAAUGGAAUAGAAACCAUUGUUUCCUAAGUGCACCAUUGCUUAUUUAUUAGUACUAGCUUUUUACAAAUAGGUUCUUGUUUG